RNAcentral lists this long non-coding RNA (269 nucleotides) under Helianthus annuus (common sunflower). RNAcentral describes it as "hypothetical non coding rna". The record is from RNAcentral. Lineage: Eukaryota; Viridiplantae; Streptophyta; Magnoliopsida; Asterales; Asteraceae.
GGUGUGUUUGGUCGAUUAAAAACGCAGGGAACGAGCAGGAGCUUCACACAAACCCUAACUCUCACUAAAUCAAUCAAUUGAAGGCUCUAAUCUGGUCCAAAUCGAAAUCCGAGCACGUAUUAGUGAUCCCCACUGAAAAAGGAGUCACAAGUUUGACUCUAAACAAGCUAGGUGGGAGCUUGGAAAGGAACGGGUCAAACGAAUGAUGGAUGCGAAGGAUGUUUGCGCGGACGCGAGGGUAAAACGGCUUAUGGAAUUUACGUGGCUAU